This 1369-nucleotide ribosomal RNA is filed under the name uncultured bacterium. RNAcentral's name for it is "bacterial SSU rRNA". It matches the Rfam family "Bacterial small subunit ribosomal RNA", at positions 28 to 1381 of the family's 1533-position model. The record is from RNAcentral.
GACGAACGCUGGCGGCGUGCCUAAUACAUGCAAGUAGAACGCUGAAGAGAGGAGCUUGCUCUUCUUGGAUGAGUUGCGAACGGGUGAGUAACGCGUAGGUAACCUGCCUUGUAGCGGGGGAUAACUAUUGGAAACGAUAGCUAAUACCGCAUAACAAUGGAUGACACAUGUCAUUUAUUUGAAAGGGGCAAUUGCUCCACUACAAGAUGGACCUGCGUUGUAUUAGCUAGUAGGUGAGGUAACGGCUCACCUAGGCGACGAUACAUAGCCGACCUGAGAGGGUGAUCGGCCACACUGGGACUGAGACACGGCCCAGACUCCUACGGGAGGCAGCAGUAGGGAAUCUUCGGCAAUGGGGGCAACCCUGACCGAGCAACGCCGCGUGAGUGAAGAAGGUUUUCGGAUCGUAAAGCUCUGUUGUAAGUCAAGAACGAGUGUGAGAGUGGAAAGUUCACACUGUGACGGUAGCUUACCAGAAAGGGACGGCUAACUACGUGCCAGCAGCCGCGGUAAUACGUAGGUCCCGAGCGUUGUCCGGAUUUAUUGGGCGUAAAGCGAGCGCAGGCGGUUUGAUAAGUCUGAAGUUAAAGGCUGUGGCUCAACCAUAGUUCGCUUUGGAAACUGUCAAACUUGAGUGCAGAAGGGGAGAGUGGAAUUCCAUGUGUAGCGGUGAAAUGCGUAGAUAUAUGGAGGAACACCGGUGGCGAAAGCGGCUCUCUGGUCUGUAACUGACGCUGAGGCUCGAAAGCGUGGGGAGCGAACAGGAUUGGAUACCCUGGUAGUCCACGCCGUAAACGAUGAGUGCUAGGUGUUGGAUCCUUUCCGGGAUUCAGUGCCGCAGCUAACGCAUUAAGCACUCCGCCUGGGGAGUACGACCGCAAGGUUGAAACUCAAAGGAAUUGACGGGGGCCCGCACAAGCGGUGGAGCAUGUGGUUUAAUUCGAAGCAACGCGAAGAACCUUACCAGGUCUUGACAUCCCGAUGCUAUUUCUAGAGAUAGAAAGUUACUUCGGUACAUCGGUGACAGGUGGUGCAUGGUUGUCGUCAGCUCGUGUCGUGAGAUGUUGGGUUAAGUCCCGCAACGAGCGCAACCCCUAUUGUUAGUUGCCAUCAUUCAGUUGGGCACUCUAGCGAGACUGCCGGUAAUAAACCGGAGGAAGGUGGGGAUGACGUCAAAUCAUCAUGCCCCUUAUGACCUGGGCUACACACGUGCUACAAUGGUUGGUACAACGAGUUGCGAGUCGGUGACGGCAAGCUAAUCUCUUAAAGCCAAUCUCAGUUCGGAUUGUAGGCUGCAACUCGCCUACAUGAAGUCGGAAUCGCUAGUAAUCGCGGAUCAGCACGCCGCGGUGAAUACGUUCCCGGGCCU